Talpa occidentalis (Iberian mole) is the source of this 914-nucleotide long non-coding RNA. RefSeq lists it as uncharacterized. Lineage: Eukaryota; Metazoa; Chordata; Mammalia; Eulipotyphla; Talpidae. The transcript has 3 exons. The record is from RefSeq and is a predicted model, not a curated record.
CUCCGUCUCCGAGGGCUGCGCGGGUUAACCCGCCCGGCGCGGGCGGCUGGGGCCGCUGUGGCGCCCCUUCAGAGAUGGAGACUGAAGUUUCUAGAAGUUAACUGCUCUCGGAGGAAGGGCCGAUGAGUGGGUGCGAUGUCGCUCCUCCCGACGUCCUCAACUCUUGGCGCUGUCGGGGACCCAAGGGGUCCGCUUUUCAGAACGUCGGGGUGACGGAGGGGGGAGCAGUCUAGAGAAAGCCAGUGGCCAUGUCAUGAGGACCCUCAUGCAGCCUGCGGAGAGGCCCAGGGCUCCUGGAACUGAGGCUUUCUGCUAGCAGAUGUGUGAGUUAUCUUGGAAGCAGUUUCUCCAGUCCUGAUCAACCUUUAGCUGACUGCAGCUUUCCUGAGCCUGGACCACCCAGCUUAGCCACUCCUGAUUUCCUGACUCUCAGAAACUAUGUGUGUGAUCUCUUGGAAGACAGAAAACCGUAACUCAAUCUGAACGCCUGUUUUUCCAGGAUCUAGUAUGGUGGAUAUGCAGACAUACAGUGGACACAACACCUUUUUGACCAUAGAAUAAACAAGUCUAAAUGCAAGGAUGGUAAUGCCAAUAAGAAAGGGAAUAUUGGCAAUAUGAUAUCUAGUAGAGGUAGCUAUCAGCUGGUUGUAAACAGAGAUUUACUGGAGCUUAUCUUCAUAAAGAGGAAACACAAGACAUGACAGUAGAUGAUAUAACCAAAAAAGAAAGUGAAGAUUAACAGGAUACCAAAAGAGCAAUCAGAAAGGCAGGUAUAAUAGUACCACUUCUAAAAAAAACCAAAAAAAUAAUUAAAAAAAAAAAACAAUUUCAGAAAGAGAAAUAGAGAUGAUAAAGGAAAAUAGUAUAUUGAAAAUGGAGGUUACUGGAUUUAUUAAAAGAUGUUUUACUGGAGG